RNAcentral lists this ribosomal RNA (229 nucleotides) under uncultured bacterium. RNAcentral describes it as "partial 16S ribosomal RNA". It matches the Rfam family "Bacterial small subunit ribosomal RNA", at positions 118 to 340 of the family's 1533-position model. The record is from RNAcentral.
UGGGUAACCUGCCUCAAAGAGGGGAAUAGCCUCCCGAAAGGGAGAUUAAUACCGCAUAAUAUGUUUUGAUCGCAUGAUCGAGACAUCAAAGGAAUUUCCUCGGAAAUUCCACUUUGAGAUGGACCCGCGGCGCAUUAGCUAGUUGGAGAGGUAACGGCCCACCAAGGCGACGAUGCGUAGCCGACUGAGAGAGUGAUCGGCCACAUGGACUGAGACACGGUCAGCUCCG